UGAAAGUCUCCGAGGGUGAGGCCCAGCAAUCUGUGCUUUAGCAAGUCUUCGGGUGAUUCUGAGGCAAGAAGAAAAUGGAGGCCUCUGUCCUACAACCGUGAGGAAGAGGACGCUGAACCUCAGGCCAGCAAACCAUAGACCGAUGCACAUGGAGCAUGAGGAGGAGAACAGGUCGCAGAUAUCCGAAAGGCUUUGUGAAAGACGCAUCUCCUGGAGGAGCGAUGCUCAAGGAGAUGAGGCAGCUGUGAGAUUCGGAGGAGGUCGGAGAGGUCAAAUCUUGUGAUUCUUUGGCCGAGACGGAAGUGAUGCUCUGCCAGUUCUAAGUGUUAAAAGGCUGCGAUUAUGUCUACUUGCUCUCUGGUGCCUCUACCAUCUGCAUGAGGAUAAAAUGUCCACGUCAGUCCAUUGGGCCAGGCAAGAGGACAAGGGAUGCAUAUUACAGAACCUCGUUAGCUGGACCCUGCAUACAUUGCCAACCCAGAGCCAACAGCAGACACGUGAGCAAACCUAGCAGAAAUCAAGAGUCACCCAGUCAAAC
RNAcentral lists this long non-coding RNA (538 nucleotides) under Equus caballus (horse). Its description in RNAcentral is "lncRNA (ENSECAG00000050389.1)". The record is from RNAcentral. Lineage: Eukaryota; Metazoa; Chordata; Mammalia; Perissodactyla; Equidae.